AAAAUAAUUCAUCAUCUUCAUCUUUCAUGUAAGGAUUACUAAAUCAAAAUUGGUCCUUUGCACCAUAAUUUUAAAACUUAUUACUAACUGCCAGAUAAAG
Molecule: long non-coding RNA, 100 nt
Organism: Sapajus apella (tufted capuchin)
Lineage: Eukaryota; Metazoa; Chordata; Mammalia; Primates; Cebidae
Exons: 3
Source: RefSeq, a predicted model, not a curated record